Molecule: unclassified non-coding RNA, 260 nt
Filed under: uncultured fungus
Lineage: Eukaryota; Fungi
Description: sequence contains ITS1, 5.8S rRNA gene
Rfam family: 5.8S ribosomal RNA (bases 212-260)
Source: RNAcentral
UCUCCGUUGGUGAACCAGCGGAGGGAUCAUUGAAGAGUUCGACUCCUCAACCACUGUGAAUCUACCGUACCGUUGCCUCGGCGGGCGGCUCCAGGGGGAGCCUUUGAGCCCCCCUUGCCCCCCCCCGGGGGGGGGUGAGGGGGGUGCCCGCCAGGGGCCCAUCAAACACUGUUGUAUCCUGGCCUUUCUGAGUACUGUUACAAAUUAUCAAAACUUUCAACAAUGGAUCUCUUGGCUCUGGCAUCGAUGAAGAACGCAGC